Molecule: transfer RNA, 74 nt
Filed under: Phocaeicola massiliensis
Lineage: Bacteria; Pseudomonadati; Bacteroidota; Bacteroidia; Bacteroidales; Bacteroidaceae
Also listed under: 2 other names
Description: tRNA-Ala
Rfam family: tRNA
About the family: Transfer RNA (tRNA) molecules are approximately 80 nucleotides in length.
Source: RNAcentral
GGGGCGUUAGCUUAGAUGGGGAAAGCGUCUGCUUUGCAAGCAGAAGAUCAACGGUUCGAGUCCGUUACGCUCCA